UACGUAGGCAGCGAGCGUUGUUCGGAGUUACUGGGCGUAAAGAGUGCGUAGGCGGUUUUCUAAGUUUGGUGUGAAAUCUCCCGGCUUAACUGGGAGGGUGCGCCGAAAACUGGAAGGCUUGAGUAUGGGAGAGGUAAGCGGAAUUCCUGGUGUAGCGGUGAAAUGCGUAGAUAUCGUAAGGAAGACCAGUGGCGAAGGCGGGUCUCUGGACAGUUCCUGACGCUGAGGCACGAAGGUCAGGGGAGCAAACGGG
Molecule: ribosomal RNA, 253 nt
Filed under: uncultured bacterium
Lineage: Bacteria
Description: partial 16S ribosomal RNA
Rfam family: Bacterial small subunit ribosomal RNA
Source: RNAcentral